RNAcentral lists this long non-coding RNA (532 nucleotides) under Salmo salar (Atlantic salmon). RNAcentral describes it as "lncRNA (ENSSSAG00000121326.1)". Lineage: Eukaryota; Metazoa; Chordata; Actinopteri; Salmoniformes; Salmonidae. The record is from RNAcentral.
AGGGGGUGAUGGGGCUCUAGAGAGAGGAAAGAGGGGGUGAUGUGGCUGCAUAGAGAGGUAAGAGGGGAUGAUGGGGCUGUAUAGAGAGAGGUAAAAGGGGGUGAUGGGGCUGCAUAGAGAGGUAAGAGGGGAUGAUGGGGCUGUAUAGAGAGAGGUAAAAGGGGGUGAUGGGGCUGCAUAGAGAGGUAAGAGUGGGUGAUGGGGCUGUAGAGAGAGGUAAGAGGGGUGAUGGGCUGCAUAGAAAGGUAAGAGGGGGUGAUGGGGCUGUAUAGAGAGGUAAGAGGGGUGAUGGUGCUGCAUAGAGAGGUAAGAGGGGGUGAUGGGGCUGUAUAGAGAGGUAAGAGGUGGUGAUGGGGCUGUAUAGAGAGGUAAGAGGGGGUGAUGGGGCUGUAGAGAGAGUUAAGAGGGGGUGAUGGGGCUCUAGAGAGAGGUAGGAGGGGUUGAUGGGGCUGUAGAGAGAGUUAAGAGGGGGUGAUGGGGCUCUAGAGAGAGUUAAGAGGGGGUGAUGGGGCUGUAGAGAGAGGUAGGAGGG